AGAGUUUGAUCAUGGCUCAGAGCGAACGCUGGCGGCAGGCCUAACACAUGCAAGUCGAACGGAUCCUUCGGGGUUAGUGGCGGACGGGUGAGUAACACGUGGGAACGUGCCUUUAGGUUCGGAAUAAGCUCGGGAAACUGGGUCUAAUACCGAAUGUGCCCUUCGGGGGAAAGAUUUAUCGCCUUUAGAGCGGCCCGCGUCUGAUUAGCUAGUUGGUGGUGUAAUGGACCACCAAGGCGACGAUCAGUAGCUGGUCUGAGAGGAUGACCAGCCACAUUGGGACUGAGACACGGCCCAAACUCCUACGGGAGGCAGCAGUGGGGAAUCUUGCGCAAUGGGCGAAAGCCUGACGCAGCCAUGCCGCGUGAAUGAUGAAGGUCUUAGGAUUGUAAAAUUCUUUCACCGGGGACGAUAAUGACGGUACCCGGAGAAGAAGCCCCGGCUAACUUCGUGCCAGCAGCCGCGGUAAUUC
RNAcentral lists this ribosomal RNA (472 nucleotides) under uncultured bacterium. RNAcentral describes it as "bacterial SSU rRNA". It matches the Rfam family "Bacterial small subunit ribosomal RNA", at positions 8 to 526 of the family's 1533-position model. The record is from RNAcentral.